This 329-nucleotide unclassified non-coding RNA is filed under the name soil metagenome. RNAcentral describes it as "partial contains 5.8S ribosomal RNA, internal transcribed spacer 2, and large subunit ribosomal RNA". The stretch from base 1 to 120 matches the Rfam family "5.8S ribosomal RNA", at positions 35 to 154 of the family's 154-position model. The record is from RNAcentral.
GAUGAAGAACGCAGCGAAAUGCGAUAAGUAGUGUGAAUUGCAGAAUUCAGUGAAUCAUCGAAUCUUUGAACGCACAUUGCGCCCCUUGGUAUCCCGAGGGGCAUGCCUGUUCGAGCGUCAUUUCACCACUCAAGCCUGGCUUGGUGUUGGGCGACGUCCCCUUUGGGGACGCGCCUUGAAACGCUCGGCGGCGUGGCACCGGCUUUAAGCGUAGCAGAAUCUUUCGCUUUGGAAGUCGGGGCCCCGUCUGCCGGAAGACCUACUCGCAAGGUUGACCUCGGAUCAGGCAGGGAUACCCGCUGAACUUAAGCAUAUCAAUAAGCGGAGGG